This 230-nucleotide ribosomal RNA is filed under the name uncultured Alicycliphilus sp. RNAcentral describes it as "partial 16S ribosomal RNA". It matches the Rfam family "Bacterial small subunit ribosomal RNA", at positions 550 to 774 of the family's 1533-position model. The record is from RNAcentral. Lineage: Bacteria; Pseudomonadati; Pseudomonadota; Betaproteobacteria; Burkholderiales; Comamonadaceae.
AGCUGAUCACUGGGUUUAAAGCGUGCGCAGGCGGUUUUGUAAGACAGAGGUGAAAUCCCCGGGCUCAACCUGGGAACUGCCUUUGUGACUGCAAGGCUGGAGUGCGGCAGAGGGGGAUGGAAUUCCGCGUGUAGCAGUGAAAUGCGUAGAUAUGCGGAGGAACACCGAUGGCGAAGGCAAUCCCCUGGGCCUGCACUGACGCUCAUGCACGAAAGCGUGGGGAGCAAACA